This 2711-nucleotide long non-coding RNA is filed under the name Homo sapiens (human). RNAcentral's name for it is "long non-coding RNA NONHSAT204626.1". The record is from RNAcentral. Lineage: Eukaryota; Metazoa; Chordata; Mammalia; Primates; Hominidae.
UGUGAAAAUGUUUCUUCGUAUUGUUUUAACAAUGCUACAAUGCUACUUUUGAAAGGACCAAAGGAUUCAUCUUGUUUUGGAUUCAUAGCUCAUCCCACUAGAGAACAUGAGGCUUGACACUGCUACUGUCACAAUGGGAGACAGCCUCAGGAUGAAGCCAACACUCAGAGAAUGACAAAAUCAAAACUUGGAGAUUAACUGACCUCAUAUAGCAUUGCAUAAGCCCCUGAAUCAAGUUAUGCCUGAAGCUUAGUCCUUGAGCCUUCAACUACAUGAACCAAUAUAUUUCUCUAAUUAACCAGGAGAAACGGACUUUCUUUAAAUCAUCAAUCUUUAAAAACAUCAAGAAAUGGUGGUCUUCAACAAAUGAGGAGGAAUGAAGGAGAAUGAUCCUAUUUUCCAGUGAAUUAUCACUUUACUUUGGAGACUUUGUGGGAAGACUUACUACGAAAGUUCCUUUUGAAGAACUGAAGUGAUCUUAUCCCUGCCUGAAAAUGUAACUCUCCUUCUCUAGUAAUAUAAUGACCAGAGAAGAGUGUUAUUUCAGCUGAUUAAAAUAGCUUUGUUGUAAAGGACCUUUUUAUUGCAUUGGGCCCAUCUGGAUAUCCCAGGAUAAUCUCCCUACUUCAAUUCCAUGACAGCCCAUCUAUGUGGCUGGCAGAGAGAAUGAAGGCAAGGAGAAUGUAAGAACUCAGAAGGCAAGAAGAGAAGCUGGCAUUAGAAUGCGGUUGAACAAGAGAAAGAGUUGGAGAUGCUGAGUUCUGGAGGCAGAUCUACCUAAGGAGGAACUCUCUGUUCAUCGUCUUCCAUGGCCUCAUCUGUGAUGGACACUGGAGAAUAAACCUUUCUUAAAGGCUGCAUAGCAUUGUACCCCAUUUUCCUGCUGGUGUAGAAAAUGGUUAUUUGAAGAAGUGAUUGACUCCAGGGCGAGAGCAAGAAAAGUACAAUAAGAAUUUAAAACAUCUUCCACAGCCGGAAAGUAAGAAGUAUUCAAAAGGUGAUGUGGAGUCUUACCAAAAGGAUAUGGGAGCUAACUGGGAAAAGUACUCGAUGGCCAAAUCUGGAAAAAUUGAGCAAAAAAAAUUUAUUUAGGAUGUCUCUCCAUCCUGACAAUUCCAGAAUGCAGAGCAUGUGGCCAUUUUGAUCUGAAAAAACACUAAAGAAUGAGUAUUUCUUCUCAAGAACGAACACCACAAAGCCUUUCCUCAUCUAUUCAGAACCUCAUCUAUUCAGAACCUCAUCUACUCAGAAUUUAAAAACAUUAUUUAAGAAGAGACAAGGAAAAAAAGAUGGAGGGAUGAUUUUUGUGCCAUUUCAGGGUGACAGAAAAGGAAACAAGGAGAGCUGGAAUUGACCUGGAUCCUUGUGGGAAAUACUUCAGUGAUGGAUGGAAGCAGAGGGAGAAAGGACCAAAAUGAAGCCAGGAGGGACAAGAUGGCUGGAAUGUUUGGUUCUGAGGAUUCAUGAUUGUCCUUAACUCACACGGACUGAACUCUCGCUUGCCUGUCUUCCUGGGGCUUGUGUAAGAACAUCCUGCAGAAAAGUAUUAACAACGCGAGUGAUCUUCACUGUGUUUAACGAUUCAUUGAUUGUAAAAGAUGUUUUACCUGGGAUAACAAUGAGUGUGUAUUCCUGGAGCCUAAACUCACUGACCUGGAAGGGGGCCCCGAGAAGUGUGCUAAGUGGACAAAGGAAGCCUGGCUAGAGUUUAUAGUUUUCUAACUAGAUAAUUGAGUGAACUAAAAGGUCUUUUAUUAUCCUUAUGUGGAUUACGUACUUUGCAGGAUAUGCAUAGUCAUUAUUAAAACCGAGUCCUGCCAAUGAGAUGUAGACAGAAGUCUACUGAGACUGGCUUCUUUUCACCAACAAAAAGACAAAGCCCUUCAAGGAGAAGUCUUUAGGCCUAAUUGCCUCAUUUUUGCCUGGAACAUGGAUGUGAUUUCUGGAGGCGCACCAGCCACUGCAGGGCCCUGUUCAUAAAGUUAUGGAUGCUCACAUGUGCAAAGUUAAAGGGCCACAUCUGGUGAGGGCUUUCUUGCUGGUGAGGAUUCUCUGAAGAGUAUUGAGGCAGCAGAGGACAUCACAUGCAUCGCUAGCGAACUUUGCAUGAAUGCACCUUCAGGGCCCUUCAGUUACUGCAGCUAUGAAGCAGUGGCACAUAAGGGAAGUUUCCUUCUCUUUGGGGAAUCAUAAAUAAAAUAGUGGUGUAAUCAAGGACAGAAGAAAAAAGAGACUUCAGACAGAUUUCUUCCGAGUCACCGGUGGGAGCUUCCCAGGGAGAUGCGGCUUUAUUCCCUCAUGGCAGACAGGAGGAGGAUGCUGAGCGGGAGCUGAUGCCACCUGGCAGCAAUGGUGGCACAGACUGCUGGAGAGGCACAGAUUGGAACCCAAGCCUCAUCAGACGGCAGCUGUGACAGCGGCAUAUUUCAAAAAUGUAUUGCAAAUUUCACACAAGGGGUCUUUAAAAAAAUUUGAAAGUCUCCUUGGCUUUCACAGACUUUUAAUUAAGAGAGAACUCCUCUUCUUUGAAAAUCAAAACACUUUUUGCCUAUUUUAUGUAUCUAAAGGUAGAUGGGAACUUACAGCCACAUUUAAAAAAUUUGCAGUUGAUUAUGUGGUUUUCAAAUUUAAUAACCUACUAUGAAUAAUUAACUCAACAAGAAGAAAAGGGCACAUUGGCACCUCACAAUUAAAAGAGUAAGAGUGAAAUU